This 369-nucleotide long non-coding RNA is filed under the name Homo sapiens (human). Its description in RNAcentral is "HSALNT0176185". Lineage: Eukaryota; Metazoa; Chordata; Mammalia; Primates; Hominidae. The record is from RNAcentral.
ACUUUGGACUUUUCCACUUUCCUUCAGGUCCUUCGAUAUUCACAUCGGGACAUUCAACAUCCACUUUCGGUCCUGAGACAUCAAUGUCAGCCUUGGGCAGGUUCACAUCCACUUCUCGGCCCUCUCCUUUGAAGCCAGGCAUGCUAAACUUGGGCAUUUUCAUCUUGGGCAUCUUCAGGUGCCAGUCUGGGCCUUGAACCUCCACAUCUGGGACAUCAAUGUCCAUUUUGGCACUUUUAAGUUCAACAUCAGGAACUUUAAUCUCACUUUCAACCUUUGGCAUUGUGACAUCAUAUUCUCCCUUUACGUUAGGGCCUUUCAGAUGUAAGUCCACAUCAGGCAUGGAGAUCUUGGGGACUUUGAUGUUCA